Molecule: transfer RNA, 77 nt
Filed under: Camelus bactrianus (Bactrian camel)
Lineage: Eukaryota; Metazoa; Chordata; Mammalia; Artiodactyla; Camelidae
Also listed under: 2 other names
Rfam family: tRNA
About the family: Transfer RNA (tRNA) molecules are approximately 80 nucleotides in length.
Source: Rfam by way of RNAcentral
GGAGGUAUAGCUUAAGUGGUAGAGUACCUGCUUAGCAUGCAUGCACAAGGACCUGGGUUCAGUCCCCAGUACUUCCA